AUUGAACGCUGGCGGCAGGCCUAACACAUGCAAGUCGAACGGUAACAGGAAGCAGCUUGCUGCUUUGCUGACGAGUGGCGGACGGGUGAGUAAUGUCUGGGAAACUGCCCGAUGGAGGGGGAUAACUACUGGAAACGGUAGCUAAUACCGCAUAACGUCGCAAGACCAAAGAGGGGGACCUUAGGGCCUCUUGCCAUCGGAUGUGCCCAGAUGGGAUUAGCUAGUAGGUGGGGUAACGGCUCACCUAGGCGACGAUCCCUAGCUGGUCUGAGAGGAUGACCAGCCACACUGGACCUGAGACACGGUCCAGACUCCUACGGGAGGCAGCAGUGGGGAAUAUUGCACAAUGGGCGCAAGCCUGAUGCAGCCAUGCCGCGUGUAUGAAGAAGGCCUUCGGGUUGUAAAGUACUUUCAGCGGGGAGGAAGGGAGUAAAGUUAAUACCUUUGCUCAUUGACGUUACCCGCAGAAGAAGCACCGGCUAACUCCGU
RNAcentral lists this ribosomal RNA (489 nucleotides) under uncultured bacterium. RNAcentral describes it as "partial 16S ribosomal RNA". It matches the Rfam family "Bacterial small subunit ribosomal RNA", at positions 30 to 506 of the family's 1533-position model. The record is from RNAcentral.